Molecule: non-coding RNA, 78 nt
Organism: Ignavibacteria bacterium
Lineage: Bacteria; Pseudomonadati; Ignavibacteriota; Ignavibacteria
Source: Rfam
CAACCCUAACAGAGAUGUAAGAUUGAGAUGUCAGAAGUCAGCAGAAGUCAUAGUAUCCCGGCAGACCGGGAGAAGGAC